RNAcentral lists this ribosomal RNA (250 nucleotides) under uncultured bacterium. Its description in RNAcentral is "partial 16S ribosomal RNA". It matches the Rfam family "Archaeal small subunit ribosomal RNA", at positions 474 to 722 of the family's 1478-position model. The record is from RNAcentral.
UACCAGCACCCCGAGUGGUCGGGACGUUUAUUGGGCCUAAAGCAUCCGUAGCCGGUUCUACAAGUCUUCCGUUAAAUCCACCUGCUUAACAGAUGGGCUGCGGAAGAUACUAUAGAGCUGGAGGAGCGGGAGAGGCGAAGCGGUACUCGAUGGGUAGGGGUAAAAUCCGUUGAUCCAUUGAAGACCACCAGUGGCGAAGGCGGCUUGCCAGAACGCGCUCGACGGUGAGGGAUGAAAGCUGGGGGAGCAA